Molecule: ribosomal RNA, 492 nt
Filed under: uncultured bacterium
Lineage: Bacteria
Description: partial 16S ribosomal RNA
Rfam family: Bacterial small subunit ribosomal RNA
Source: RNAcentral
AGUGAACGCUGGCGGUAGGCCUAACACAUGCAAGUCGAACGGCAGCACAGUAAGAGCUUGCUCUUACGGGUGGCGAGUGGCGGACGGGUGAGGAAUACAUCGGAAUCUACUUUUUCGUGGGGGAUAACGUAGGGAAACUUACGCUAAUACCGCAUACGACCUAAGGGUGAAAGCAGGGGAUCUUCGGACCUUGCGCGAUUGAAUGAGCCGAUGUCGGAUUAGCUAGUUGGCGGGGUAACGGCCCACCAAGGCGAGGAACCGUAGCUGGUCUGAGAGGAUGAUCGGCCACACUGGAACUGAGACGCGGUCCAGACUCCUACGGGAGGCAGCAGUGGGGAAUAUUAGACAAUGGGCGCAAGCCUGAUCCAGCCAUACCGCGUGGGUGAAGAAGGCCUUCGGGUUGUAAAGCCCUUUUGUUGGGAAAGAAAAUCAGCAGGUUAAUACCCCGCUAUUCUGACGGUACCCACAGAAUAAGCACCGGCUAACUACGUG